AUUGAACGCUGGCGGCAUGCUUUACACAUGCAAGUCGAACGGCAGCGCGGGGCAACCUGGCGGCGAGUGGCGAACGGGUGAGUAAUACAUCGGAACGUACCCAGAAGUGGGGGAUAACGUAGCGAAAGUUACGCUAAUACCGCAUACGUUCUACGGAAGAAAGUGGGGGAUCGCAAGACCUCAUGCUUUUGGAGCGGCCGAUGUCUGAUUAGCUAGUUGGUAGGGUAAAGGCCUACCAAGGCGACGAUCAGUAGCUGGUCUGAGAGGACGACCAGCCUCACUGGGACUGAGACACGGCCCAGACUCCUACGGGAGGCAGCAGUGGGGAAUUUUGGACAAUGGGCGCAAGCCUGAUCCAGCAAUGCCGCGUGAGUGAAGAAGGCCUUCGGGUUGUAAAGCUCUUUUGUCAGGGAAGAAACGGCUGAGGAUAAUACCUUUGGCUAAUGACGGUACCUGAAGAAUAAGCACCGGCUAACUACGUGCCAGCCGCCGCAGUAA
Molecule: ribosomal RNA, 498 nt
Filed under: uncultured bacterium
Lineage: Bacteria
Description: partial 16S ribosomal RNA
Rfam family: Bacterial small subunit ribosomal RNA
Source: RNAcentral